AUGAGGAUUCGGGGGCUGGCGAUGAGCGGCGGCAGGGAGGUGGCCAUCUCCGCCGUCUUCACGGCGCUCCUCGUCGUCUCCAUCCUCUUUCUCCCCUCGGUCCUGCUCACCAGCGGCAGGCUCGGCCCAUCCUCCGCCAAGGAGUGGCCGUUCCUCGCGGCGGCCAAGGACGGCGGCUACUACCCGGUGUCGUUCGCGUACCUCAUCUCUGCGUCGACGGGGGACGCGGAGCGAGCGGCGAGGCUGCUGGCGGCGCUGUACCACCCGGCCAACAGUUACCUGCUGCACCUGGACCGCGAGGCCCCCGCCGAGGAGCACCGCCGACUGGCUGAGCUGGUGUCCGGGCAGCCCGUGUACGGGCGCGUGGGGAACGUGUGGAUCGUGGGGAAGCCCAACCUCGUCACCUACCGCGGACCGACCAUGCUGUCCACCACUCUCCACGCGAUGGCGGUGCUCCUCCGCGUCGGCCGCCGCUGGGACUGGUUCGUCAACCUCAGCGCCUCCGACUAUCCGCUCGUCACCCAGGACGAUUUGAUGGAGGCCUUCUCGCGGCUGCCGAGGGAUCUCAACUUCAUACAGCACACCAGCCACUUGGGCUGGAAGAUNNNNNNNNNNNNNNNNNNNNNNNNNNNNNNNNNNNNNNUGUACGAGGCCGACCGGUCGGAGCUCCUCCGCCCGUCGCCCAACAUCACCACCAACCGCCGGGGACUCCCCACCGCCUUCAAGCUCUUCACCGACAAUUCAGGCCGCACAGCAAGCCGCGAAUGUGCUGGCGAAGCAAAUGCUGCAGUACCUUUUGCUUUGUUCGUCGAUUGCUUCCAAGAAACGGCAGGGUCGGCGUGGACCAUGCUGUCGCGGCGCUUCGCGGAGUACUGCGUGAUGGGGUGGGACAACCUGGCGCGGACGCUGCUGCUCUACCACGCCAACCUCGUCUCCUCGCCGGAGUUCUACUUCCAGACGGUGGCCUGCAACUCCCGCGAGUUCCGGAACGCCACCGUCAACAGCGACCUGCAUUUCAUCCGGUGGGACACCCCGCCCAAACAGCACCCGCUCUACCUCGGCCCCAAGGACUACCGCCGGAUGGUGCUCAGCAGCGCCGCCUUCGCCCGCAAGUUCAGGGACGCCGACCUCGUGCUCGACAGGAUCGACCGGGAGAUCCUCAAGCGCCGACCGCCGUCCCGCGACGACGAUCACGGUGAUCACGCCGCCUCUGCCUCUGUUGCUAGGCACGGCGGGCAGUUCUUCAGCUACGGCGGGUGGUGCUCCGAGGGGGAGGUGGGGCUGUGCUCCAACCCCUGGGAACCCAGCAGGAAGGGGGCCAUCAAGCCCGGCGCUGGGUCAAGAAGGCUCAGGGUCAUGCUCAACAAGAUGUUGUCCGGAAGAAACUUCAGGAAGCAGCAGUGUAGGUGA
Molecule: ribosomal RNA, 1410 nt
Filed under: Triticum aestivum (bread wheat)
Lineage: Eukaryota; Viridiplantae; Streptophyta; Magnoliopsida; Poales; Poaceae
Description: partial small subunit ribosomal RNA
Source: RNAcentral